AUUGAACGCUGGCGGCAGGCCCAACACAUGCAAGUCGAGCGGCAGCGGGAAAGUAGCUUGCUACUUUUGCCGGCGAGCGGCGGACGGGUGAGUAAUGCCUGGGGAUCUGCCCAGUCGAGGGGGAUAACUACUGGAAACGGUAGCUAAUACCGCAUACGCCCUACGGGGGAAAGCAGGGGACCUUCGGGCCUUGCGCGAUUGGAUGAACCCAGGGGGGAUUAGCUAGUUGGUGAGGUAAUGGCUCACCAAGGCGACGAUCCCUAGCUGGUCUGAGAGGAUGAUCAGCCACACUGGAACUGAGACACGGUCCAGACUCCUACGGGAGGCAGCAGUGGGGAAUAUUGCACAAUGGGGGAAACCCUGAUGCAGCCAUGCCGCGUGUGUGAAGAAGGCCUUCGGGUUGUAAAGCACUUUCAGCGAGGAGGAAAGGUUGGUAGCUAAUAACUGCCAGCUGUGACGUUACUCGCAGAAGAAGCACCGGCUAACUCCGUGCCAGCAGCCGCGGUAA
This 508-nucleotide ribosomal RNA is filed under the name uncultured bacterium. Its description in RNAcentral is "partial 16S ribosomal RNA". It matches the Rfam family "Bacterial small subunit ribosomal RNA", at positions 29 to 523 of the family's 1533-position model. The record is from RNAcentral.